RNAcentral lists this transfer RNA (76 nucleotides) under Bacillota bacterium. RNAcentral's name for it is "tRNA-Thr". It matches the Rfam family "tRNA". From Rfam's summary of the family: Transfer RNA (tRNA) molecules are approximately 80 nucleotides in length. RNAcentral also lists the same sequence under 1 other name. Lineage: Bacteria; Bacillati; Bacillota. The record is from RNAcentral.
GCCAGCGUAGCUCAAUUGGCAGAGCAACUGAUUUGUAAUCAGUAGGUCGUCGGUUCGAGUCCGACCGCUGGCUCCA